GCCCAGCCUCCUACGGGAGGCAGCAGUGGGGAAUAUUGGGCAAUGGGCGCAAGCCUGACCCAGCAACGCCGCGUGAAGGAAGAAGGCUUUCGGGUUGUAAACUUCUUUUCUCAGGGACGAAUAGAUGACGGUACCUGAGGAAUAAGCCACGGCUAACUACGUGCCAGCAGCCGCGGUAAUACGUAGGUGGCAAGCGUUAUCCGGAUUUACUGGGUGUAAAGGGCGUGUAGGCGGGGACGCAAGUCAGAUGUGAAAACCACGGGCGCAACCUGUGGCCUGCAUUUGAAACUGUGUUUCUUGAGUACUGGAGAGGCAGACGGAAUUCCUAGUGUAGCGGUGAAAUGCGUAGAUAUUAGGAGGAACACCAGUGGCGAAGGCGGACUGCUGGACAGCAACUGACGCUGAGGCGCGAAAGCGUGGGGAGCAAACAGGAUUAGAUACCCUUGUAGC
Molecule: ribosomal RNA, 450 nt
Filed under: uncultured bacterium
Lineage: Bacteria
Description: bacterial SSU rRNA
Rfam family: Bacterial small subunit ribosomal RNA
Source: RNAcentral